UGGUCUCCAAUCUCCUCAUCAAAGCUCCACUUCUUUUCAUAGGUUUGGCUCCUAUCUGGAACGCACACCGGUCCCCAUGGCAUUGUCUGGCACAGGUACGCUGGUGGCUUCUAUUGCCUCCAAGGUGGCAUCUUCAGUGGCCGUGGUCAAAGCCGGAGGGGCGGUAUCCAGCACCAUCCUAGCUAGCUCACAGGGGCUCAACUUGUUAGCCCAGACUGCACUGGGCUCUGGAGCUUCUGCACUUGGAUCUGCAUUGGGAGCACUGAAGGCUGGCACCGUUUUAUCCAGCCUCCCUGCCUCCGCCUUGGCUGUUUGCCCCAUUGGAGUCAAGACUGCUGUCGCCAUGCUUGGGGGAGCCAUGACAGUAGCUGCGGUUCCACCUGUGCUGAGUGCCGUGGGCUUCAC
RNAcentral lists this long non-coding RNA (405 nucleotides) under Rattus norvegicus (Norway rat). RNAcentral describes it as "long non-coding RNA NONRATT024587". Lineage: Eukaryota; Metazoa; Chordata; Mammalia; Rodentia; Muridae. The record is from RNAcentral.